UUCCAUCAACGUUCUGAACUUUGGACGUGGGCGACAGCAGUGCCACAUCAAGCCUUCUCAGCCAAGGAAGAACUUGUCUGAACCUCUUCCUGGGAUUGGGAAAAGGAUCCGGGAAAGACAGCGUGCUGCCAGGUAAGAGAUUAGGACACGUUUCAGCGUGGAGUUGUGCCGUCUGAGAGCUUUUGUUUGAGCUGCCCGUUUGAAAUGGAUAUUUUCUGAGCGCGAGCAUGUCAG
Molecule: long non-coding RNA, 234 nt
Filed under: Oryzias javanicus (javanese ricefish)
Lineage: Eukaryota; Metazoa; Chordata; Actinopteri; Beloniformes; Adrianichthyidae
Description: lncRNA (ENSOJAG00000023717.1)
Source: RNAcentral